CGACUAUCUUCAGUCACUGCUACCUUAGGCAAGCCUAGCGCAGCCUCCCCAUCCAGUGCCUACAGCAGGGAAGAGGAAUCUGAGCAGCAGCGUGAAAGGGUGCACGGCGAGACUGCUGUUUCAUACAGACAUGGACGUGACCAUGUGGGAGGCACGCUACCCCGCAGAGAACACCAAUACAGGAGUUCUCUGCUGUUCCUACAUGGUAUUCAUGAGGACCAAUGUAUAAAUCAAAUUUCUACAAGCCCUAUUUCCCCCAUGGUUUCCAUGAUUACUUGGCAGGGGGCGCUUAUCUUCUCUAUGAGUCAAUUUACCUUGACAUAGCUUCUUAACCCUGUUUCUGUUCCAUGCCUGCAAAAAAGGUACCACUGAACUGCAUGACAAUGACCUCCAGAAUUCAAAAUUCUGAUUCUCACUGGUGAAUCCAGCAAUGCAUUCAGUCACAGAGCAAAACUGCUGUCAGCCUGUAUGCUCUGUGACAGCAGGGACAGGGUCUGUCUUGUGCCACCUUCCCCAGCAGCAACUACACAGUAUCUGGCACCCAGAGAAAGAAGGGAAAACGCCGCUGUGCUAGUCUAGGCACGCUGCAAUAAGAAAGACCAAGUCCCUGCUCAAAAGAACUUGAGUGACACAGAAACAAUUAUCAAGAGAAGUGACAUGUGUUCUAAAAGAACUAUGCCAAUGCUAAGGAACACGGAGGAAGGAUGGGAUGAAAGGCAUUCCAACAGCAAGACAACAUACUUUGCAGAAGGCAGGGAGGGUGUGUGAUCUUGGAAAAGCAGACACUUUGUGGUUUUCUGCCUUCUUCACUCAAGAACACAAACAACCACGUCUGCCCCUGGAUGCUCACUGCCAAGAGAGCACUGUACCUGGCAUACGCGGAUGGCUCAGGGAGGAAGAGAAAUGGACACCUCGCAGCAGGAGGGGGCCUAGAGCUUCUCAAAGAGAGGGUCAGAGGAAACCAAUAAAGAGGGCUGAGAGAGAGGCCCUGUGUUGUAGGUAAGAAAUGGGUCCCAGAGGGAAAUGAGUAGAGGUAGUUAACUGAAAGCCUCCCAUUAACAUUUCCAGAAAUCCAAUUAGUGACAAACUUCAUUACUUAAGCUAUCGAAAGUAUCAACAUUAUAAUGGAAGAUACAAACCAACUGAAUUCAUUUAAUCUUAAGGUAUUCAAGAUGACUAUUUUAUUGUUUUAAGGAAAUUAAAACGACAGAAAAUUUCAAUAUAGAAGUUAGUAAUACACGCAAAAGGGAUGAAAGCCUCAAAUGAAAUUUAUUAGCAGAUUCCAGGUCCCAUCUACACCACAUACAUUUCCUAAAUACCCCAAGCACCACAAACAAAAACGGUAUUAUGAAUGUAGCUCACAUGGAAGCUGAACGUUGAAGGUUUUUUUUUUUUUUCCCACAUAUAAAACUGACCCAUAUAUGUAAAGCCUUGACAUAUCUUAGCUGCAGAAUCUCUAGUAAAUCACCUAAUCUCUAUGUCAGAUGGAGAUGUCACUUGCCCUACCCCUAACCUGAGAGGGUUAUUUUAUGGAAUAAAUGGGAGAAUGUAUGUGAAAAAACCUUUACACUGGAAAUCUAAAAUAUAAUGGUUUGGCAUCAGUAUCUCAAGUGAGGCAAGGCAUUCUCAAGAUUGAGAACAGUCAGUAUAUACGUGCUGACAUGAGAAAACACGCAAGAUAUAUGAAGUGAGAAAUGCACCUGCAUAGCAGUAUGUAGAGUAUGAUCUCAUUUCAUGGUGUAUUUUUCUAAGCCUCUGCUCAUACAUGGAAGGCUACAUACCAAACUGUUAAGAUCGAUGCGUUCUGGGGUGGUGAGGUAUGCAUUACUUUUAGAAUAAAACCUGCAAAUACACACACACACACACACACACACACACACACUAACUGACAAAGAUUAUCUCCUUGACCAAAUUUUACUCAGGUUACUCUGAGGACUCUUUUCAACUAGCCCUUGACUUUGGUCCCCAUCCAGUCUUUGGAUGGCUCAGCCAAGUUUUAGCAAGAAUCCUGUUAAGUAAGUUUAACAAGAACUCCCCCCACCCUGCCCCAUCUGAUAAAGUUCCUCAUCCCCCACCUCUGCUGUCUAAGUCCUUGGCCUGCCUUUAGCAAGAAUCCUGUUAGGUCAGUUUAGCAAGGAUCCCCCUACCCUGCUGUCUCCUCUUAGUAAUUUUCAUUCCCUGACCUUUUACCCUGCUCCUUGGCUAUAAAUCCCUACUUGUCCUUAUUGUAUUCAGAGGGAAACAUCAUCUCUCUCCCUCUGCAGUGGUCUUAAAUAUAGUUGUCCUUACUGUUUUAACAACGGUCAGAAUGAUUUUUACCAACACACACAAACACAGUUUUUUUUUUUUUUUUUAAAGUGAAGCCAGAUCUAUUCCAGAGACACAGGCUUCUAUUUAUGAGAUUCUUAAGAGUUCUUUUAAGAAGGAGUAUGGAGAAAAUUUAUCUCCGGAAUUGGGCUCCUUUUUAAAAAACCUCUUGUGGUCUUUGAUUUUUUUUUUCCAGUCUCUGGAGGAUGAAAAUCAAUUAUUCCCAUUUGCUUCUGAAUGGAGCUCUUCAAUUACAGAGGCUAAGAACAAGCUUGCCCAAAUGAGGGCAGGACCGGUCCCCAGGGGAGGGGACCAAAUGGGUCAGUGAUUUCAAAGGCUAGUGGAUUUUAGAAGACGGUAUAGGAAUUGCCCAUAAGGGUUAUAUACCGCUGGUAUAAGUGAUGGUGAGGUUAGGGCAGGUGAGUGAGUCAACUGGGGGUUACUGAAUCCCAGAUAUUCCACAUCCUAAAACAGUUCACAAAUUUGUCCCUUCCUCCCCAUUUCCAAAGUCGCUGCCUUAUUCCUGAAAUAACCUCCAAAAUGAUCUCGACUGCCUGAGGUCUCCCUUCCAUUGACAAAAACCAAAAAAACGCUUUCUACAAUGUUGGCACUACUAACUCUCUAAAAUAAAUACACAAUCAGGUAUUCUCCCCAAGAGCUUUUGAUAGUUCUCUCUUGCCUCUAGAAGCUUCCUAGCCAACCAUGCAGUAAGGAUCUUCCCACGCUAUCCCCAGUUACCCUUCUGGCUCCAUCCCUCUGCACUCCCGUGCACACCCUGGACGCUCACUAUCUGCCACCUGUCUUUNNNNNNNNNNNNNNNNNNNNNNNNNNNNNNNNNNNNN
Long non-coding RNA from Mustela putorius furo (domestic ferret), 3149 nucleotides. The record is from Ensembl. Lineage: Eukaryota; Metazoa; Chordata; Mammalia; Carnivora; Mustelidae.